This 593-nucleotide long non-coding RNA is filed under the name Gallus gallus (chicken). Lineage: Eukaryota; Metazoa; Chordata; Aves; Galliformes; Phasianidae. The record is from RNAcentral.
AUAGGCAGACAAGGGCUUUUUUGCUAUGUUUUGCUCCUGGUGUGUUAAUCCUCUCCUGCUCACUGUGCUGCUCAGUCAGUGGGGCUGAUGGGUAUAUUUUUACUAACCUGCAGGCAUACCUGUCCUUAUUGUGCCAGCUUAUUGCUUAAGGUAUUUUUGGUAUCAAAAGUGGAACACUGGUACAAAAAGCUGAUUUUAAUGUCUCCCUUAUGUUAAGGAGCCAUUCCUGCUGAACACCACAGAGAUCUGUGCACAUAAUCCCCCCAAAUAGGGGCGAACAACAGCCUCGAGUCUCCUGCUUGUGUGUUAGUUUGCUGUACAGUACCCAAAAUACAUAGAAGAGAACAACACAAAUAUUCUUACAGGUGUGACAACAAAAGAACAGAAAAAGAAAGAAAUCCCUCAAAAAGAAAGAGAAAAAGAAGGGAAAAAAAAAAAAAAAGCAACAGCAAAGAAGGAAGACUCAGAUAUUCUGUCAGCAGAAACCUGAAUGCUGCAGCAGGAUGCAUGAUUGCUGAUGUCCAGAAUAUCCAAUGUGAUAUAUGACUUGAAGAGGAGCCACAUUUCUUCUGGAAAAGAAAUGAAAUAAAAGG